RNAcentral lists this ribosomal RNA (509 nucleotides) under uncultured bacterium. RNAcentral describes it as "bacterial SSU rRNA". It matches the Rfam family "Bacterial small subunit ribosomal RNA", at positions 19 to 518 of the family's 1533-position model. The record is from RNAcentral.
CUGGCUCAGGAUGAACGCUAGCUACAGGCUUAACACAUGCAAGUCGAGGGGCAGCAUGACGAUAGCUUGCUAUUGUCGAUGGCGACCGGCGCACGGGUGAGUAACGCGUAUCCAACCUGCCCAUUACUCAGGUAUAGCCCAGUGAAAACUGGAUUAAUCCCUGAUGUGGUCUCGUGCAGACAUCUAAGCGAGACUAAAGUUUUAACGGUAAUGGAUGGGGAUGCGUCUGAUUAGCUUGUUGGCGGGUAACGGCCACCAAGGCGACGAUCAGUAGGGGUUCUGAGAGGAAGGUCCCCCACAUUGGAACUGAGACACGGUCCAAACUCCUACGGGAGGCAGCAGUGAGGAAUAUUGGUCAAUGGACGGAAGUCUGAACCAGCCAAGUAGCGUGCAAGGAUGACGGCCCUAUGGGUUGUAAACUGCUUUUGUGCGGGAAUAAAGAAGGGGACGUGUCCUCUGUUGCAUGUACCGCACGAAUAAGGACCGGCUAAUUCCGUGCCAGCCGCUGC